GGGUUGUGAGGUUAAGCGACUAAGCGUACACGGUGGAUGCCCUGGCAGUCAGAGGCGAUGAAGGACGUGCUAAUCUGCGAAAAGCGUCGGUAAGGUGAUAUGAACCGUUAUAACCGGCGAUGUCCGAAUGGGGAAACCCAGUGCAAUUCGUUGCACUAUCGUUAACUGAAUACAUAGGUUAACGAGGCGAACCGGGGGAACUGAAACAUCUAAGUACCCCGAGGAAAAGAAAUCAACCGAGAUUCCCCCAGUAGCGGCGAGCGAACGGGGAGCAGCCCAGAGUCUGAAUCAGCUUGUGUGUUAGUGGAACGGUCUGGAAAGUCCGACGGUACAGGGUGAUAGUCCCGUACACCAAAAUGCACAGGCUGUGAACUCGAAGAGUAGGGCGGGACACGUGGUAUCCUGUCUGAAUAUGGGGGGACCAUCCUCCAAGGCUAAAUACUCCUGACUGACCGAUAGUGAACCAGUACCGUGAGGGAAAGGCGAAAAGAACCCCGGCGAGGGGAGUGAAAAAGAACCUGAAACCGUGUACGUACAAGCAGUGGGAGCACCUUCGGGUGUGACUGCGUACCUUUUGUAUAAUGGGUCAGCGACUUAUAUUCUGUAGCAAGGUUAACCGUAUAGGGGAGCCGCAGGGAAACCGAGUCUUAACUGGGCGUUAAGUUGCAGGGUAUAGACCCGAAACCCGGUGAUCUAGCCAUGGGCAGGUUGAAGGUUGGGUAACACUAACUGGAGGACCGAACCGACUAAUGUUGAAAAAUUAGCGGAUGACUUGUGGCUGGGGGUGAAAGGCCAAUCAAACCGGGAGAUAGCUGGUUCUCCCCGAAAGCUAUUUAGGUAGCGCCUCGUGAAUUCAUCUUCGGGGGUAGAGCACUGUUUCGGCUAGGGGGUCAUCCCGACUUACCAACCCGAUGCAAACUACGAAUACCGAAGAAUGUUAUCACGGGAGACACACGGCGGGUGCUAACGUCCGUCGUGAAGAGGGAAACAACCCAGACCGCCAGCUAAGGUCCCAAAGUCAUGGUUAAGUGGGAAACGAUGUGGGAAGGCACAGACAGCCAGGAUGUUGGCUUAGAAGCAGCCAUCAUUUAAAGAAAGCGUAAUAGCUCACUGGUCGAGUCGGCCUGCGCGGAAGAUGUAACGGGGCUAAACCAUGCACCGAAGCUGCGGCAGCGACACUAUGUGUUGUUGGGUAGGGGAGCGUUCUGUAAGCCUGCGAAGGUGACCUGUGAGGGUUGCUGGAGGUAUCAGAAGUGCGAAUGCUGACAUAAGUAACGAUAAAGCGGGUGAAAAGCCCGCUCGCCGGAAGACCAAGGGUUCCUGUCCAACGUUAAUCGGGGCAGGGUGAGUCGACCCCUAAGGCGAGGCCGAAAGGCGUAGUCGAUGGGAAACAGGUUAAUAUUCCUGUACUUGGUGUUACUGCGAAGGGGGGACGGAGAAGGCUAUGUUAGCCGGGCGACGGUUGUCCCGGUUUAAGCAUGUAGGCUGGUUGUCCAGGCAAAUCCGGAUAAUCAAGGCUGAGGUGUGAUGACGAGGUACUACGGUGCUGAAGUAACAAAUGCCCUGCUUCCAGGAAAAGCCUCUAAGCAUCAGGUAACAUCAAAUCGUACCCCAAACCGACACAGGUGGUCAGGUAGAGAAUACCAAGGCGCUUGAGAGAACUCGGGUGAAGGAACUAGGCAAAAUGGUGCCGUAACUUCGGGAGAAGGCACGCUGGUGUGUAGGUGAAGUCCCUGCGGAUGGAGCUGAGACCAGUCGAAGAUACCAGCUGGCUGCAACUGUUUAUUAAAAACACAGCACUGUGCAAACACGAAAGUGGACGUAUACGGUGUGACGCCUGCCCGGUGCCGGAAGGUUAAUUGAUGGGGUUAUCCGUAAGGAGAAGCUCUUGAUCGAAGCCCCGGUAAACGGCGGCCGUAACUAUAACGGUCCUAAGGUAGCGAAAUUCCUUGUCGGGUAAGUUCCGACCUGCACGAAUGGCGUAAUGAUGGCCAGGCUGUCUCCACCCGAGACUCAGUGAAAUUGAACUCGCUGUGAAGAUGCAGUGUACCCGCGGCAAGACGGAAAGACCCCGUGAACCUUUACUAUAGCUUGACACUGAACAUUGAGCCUUGAUGUGUAGGAUAGGUGGGAGGCUUUGAAGCGUGGACGCCAGUCUGCGUGGAGCCAACCUUGAAAUACCACCCUUUAAUGUUUGAUGUUCUAACGUUGGCCCCUGACCGGGGUUGCGGACAGUGUCUGGUGGGUAGUUUGACUGGGGCGGUCUCCUCCCAAAGCGUAACGGAGGAGCACGAAGGUUAGCUAAUCCUGGUCGGACAUCAGGAGGUUAGUGCAAUGGCAUAAGCUAGCUUGACUGCGAGCGUGACGGCGCGAGCAGGUGCGAAAGCAGGUCAUAGUGAUCCGGUGGUUCUGAAUGGAAGGGCCAUCGCUCAACGGAUAAAAGGUACUCCGGGGAUAACAGGCUGAUACCGCCCAAGAGUUCAUAUCGACGGCGGUGUUUGGCACCUCGAUGUCGGCUCAUCACAUCCUGGGGCUGAAGUAGGUCCCAAGGGUAUGGCUGUUCGCCAUUUAAAGUGGUACGCGAGCUGGGUUUAGAACGUCGUGAGACAGUUCGGUCCCUAUCUGCCGUGGGCGCUGGAGAAUUGAGGGGGGCUGCUCCUAGUACGAGAGGACCGGAGUGGACGCAUCACUGGUGUUCGGGUUGUCAUGCCAAUGGCACUGCCCGGUAGCUAAAUGCGGAAGAGAUAAGUGCUGAAAGCAUCUAAGCACGAAACUUGCCCCGAGAUGAGUUCUCCCUGAGACUUUAAGUCUCCUGAAGGAACGUU
Molecule: ribosomal RNA, 2825 nt
Filed under: Klebsiella pneumoniae
Lineage: Bacteria; Pseudomonadati; Pseudomonadota; Gammaproteobacteria; Enterobacterales; Enterobacteriaceae
Also listed under: 1 other name
Description: bacterial LSU rRNA
Rfam family: Bacterial large subunit ribosomal RNA
Source: RNAcentral